GCAAACUUGGUCAUUUAGAGGAAGUAAAAGUCGUAACAAGGUCUCCGUUGGUGAACCAGCGGAGGGAUCAUUAAAAAGAGUUGAAAAGCUCCUUUAAAUCCUUGUAGGACGUUUCUGCAUCGCAGCUCCCUCGGUGGGAGGCUGGAAAGAGAAAGAGGAUUGCAGGCAGUCGCCGCGGUUCUCCCUCUGUCCGGCGCCCGCCGAAGGGGAUGUACCCUAAAACUCUUACAAACUUUGCAAAUCAGAGUCAUAUUUUAAUACAUUAAAAACUUUCAACAACGGAUCUCUUGGUUCUGGCAUCGAUGAAGAACGCAGC
This 316-nucleotide unclassified non-coding RNA is filed under the name uncultured fungus. Its description in RNAcentral is "partial contains small subunit ribosomal RNA, internal transcribed spacer 1, and 5.8S ribosomal RNA". The stretch from base 1 to 73 matches the Rfam family "Eukaryotic small subunit ribosomal RNA", at positions 1759 to 1831 of the family's 1831-position model. The record is from RNAcentral. Lineage: Eukaryota; Fungi.